AGAGUUUGAUCAUGGCUCAGAACGAACGUUGGCGGCGUGGAUUAGGCAUGCAAGUCGUACGAGCUUCAUCUGGGCAACUGGGUGAAGAAAGUGGCGAAAGGGGCAGUAAGGCAUGGAUAAUCUACCCUGAUGACCGGGAUAGCUGUCCCAACGGGCAGGUAAUACCGGAUGAGCUGGUGGGGCCGCAUGGUUCUGCCAGGAAAGGCGCAAGCCGUGUCGGGAGGAAUCCAUGUGAUAUUAGCUAGUUGGUGAGGUAACGGCUCACCAAGGCGAAGAUGUCUAGCGGGUGUGAGAGCACGACCCGCGCCAUUGGCACUGAGACACUGGCCAGACUCCUACGGGAGGCUGCAGUCGAGGAUCUUCGGCAAUGGGCGCAAGCCUGACCGAGCGACGCCGCGUGAGCGAUGAAGGCCAUUAGGUUGUAAAGCUCUGUCGAGGGGGAACAAGCCGCAAGGUUGAGUGAUCCCUGGAGGAAGCACGGGCUAAGUUCGUGCCAGCAGCCGCGGUAAGACGAACCGUGCGAACGUUGUUCGGAAUCAUUGGGCUUAAAGGGCGCGUAGGCGGGUUGACAAGUCCGGGGUGAAAGCCUCCAGCUCAACUGGAGAAGAGCCCCGGAUACUGUCAGUCUGGAGAGGGAUAGGGGCACAUGGAACUUCCGGUGGAGCGGUGAAAUGCGUAGAGAUCGGAAGGAACGCCGGUGGCGAAAGCGAUGUGCUGGAUCUUUUC
RNAcentral lists this ribosomal RNA (726 nucleotides) under uncultured bacterium. RNAcentral's name for it is "bacterial SSU rRNA". It matches the Rfam family "Bacterial small subunit ribosomal RNA", at positions 8 to 740 of the family's 1533-position model. The record is from RNAcentral.